GUGAGGAAUAUUGCGCAAUGGAGGCAACUCUGACGCAGCCAUGCUGCGUGCAGGAAGAAGGCGCUACGCGUUGUAAACUGCUUUUAACCGGGAAGAAACCCCAGGACGUGUCCUGGGUUGACGGUACCGGAGGAAUAAGCACCGGCUAACUUCGUGCCAGCAGCCGCGGUAAUACGAAGGGUGCAAGCGUUAUCCGGAUUCAUUGGGUUUAAAGGGUGCGUAGGCGGAGCGUUAAGUCAGUGGUGAAAUCCUGCAGCUUAACUGUAGACUUGCCAUUGAUACUGGCGCUCUUGAGUGCGCUUGAAGUGGGCGGAAUGUGCCGUGUAGCGGUGAAAUGCUUAGAUAUGGCACAGAACACCAAUUGCGAAGGCAGCUCACUAAGGCGAUACUGACGCUGAGGCACGAAAGCGUGGGGAUCGAACAGGAUUAGAUACCCUUGUAGUCC
RNAcentral lists this ribosomal RNA (445 nucleotides) under uncultured bacterium. RNAcentral describes it as "bacterial SSU rRNA". It matches the Rfam family "Bacterial small subunit ribosomal RNA", at positions 354 to 796 of the family's 1533-position model. The record is from RNAcentral.